AGUCGACGGUGAACACGGAGCUUGCUCUGUGGGAUCAGUGGCGAACGGGUGAGUAACACGUGAGCAACCUGCCCCUGACUCUGGGAUAAGCGCUGGAAACGGCGUCUAAUACUGGAUACGAGUAGCGACCGCAUGGUCAGUUACUGGAAAGAUUUAUUGGUUGGGGAUGGGCUCGCGGCCUAUCAGCUUGUUGGUGAGGUAAUGGCUCACCAAGGCGUCGACGGGUAGCCGGCCUGAGAGGGUGACCGGCCACACUGGGACUGAGACACGGCCCAGACUCCUACGGGAGGCAGCAGUGGGGAAUAUUGCACAAUGGGCGCAAGCCUGAUGCAGCAACGCCGCGUGAGGGAUGACGGCCUUCGGGUUGUAAACCUCUUUUAGCAGGGAAGAAGCGAAAGUGACGGUACCUGCAGAAAAAGCGCCGGCUAACUACGUGCCAGCAGCCGCGGUAAUACGUAGGGCGCAAGCGUUAUCCGGAAUUAUUGGGCGUAAAGAGCUCGUAGGCGGUUUGUCGCGUCUGCUGUGAAAUCCGGAGGCUCAACCUCCGGCCUGCAGUGGGUACGGGCAGACUAGAGUGCGGUAGGGGAGAUUGGAAUUCCUGGUGUAGCGGUGGAAUGCGCAGAUAUCAGGAGGAACACCGAUGGCGAAGGCAGAUCUCUGGGCCGUAACUGACGCUGA
RNAcentral lists this ribosomal RNA (678 nucleotides) under Microbacterium foliorum. RNAcentral's name for it is "bacterial SSU rRNA". It matches the Rfam family "Bacterial small subunit ribosomal RNA", at positions 60 to 749 of the family's 1533-position model. The record is from RNAcentral. Lineage: Bacteria; Bacillati; Actinomycetota; Actinomycetes; Micrococcales; Microbacteriaceae.